CCUGGCUCAGAUUGAACGCUGGCGGCAGGCCUAACACAUGCAAGUCGAACGGUAACAGGAAGCAGCUUGCUGCUUGCUGACGAGUGGCGGACGGGUGAGUAAUGUUGGGAAACUGCCCGAUGAGGGGGAUAACUACUGGAAACGGUAGCUAAUACCGCAUAAUGUCGCAAGACCAAAGAGGGGGACCUUCGGGCCUCUUGCCAUCGGAUGUGCCCAGAUGGGAUUAGCUUGUUGGUGAGGUAACGGCUCACCAAGGCGACGAUCCCUAGCUGGUCUGAGAGGAUGACCAGCCACACUGGAACUGAGACACGGUCCAGACUCCUACGGGAGGCAGCAGUGGGGAAUAUUGCACAAUGGGCGCAAGCCUGAUGCAGCCAAUGCCGCGUGUAUGAAGAAGGCCUUCGGGUUGUAAAGUACUUUCAGCGGGGAGGAAGGGGUUAAGGUUAAUAACCUUAGCCAUUGACGUUACCCGCAGAAGAAGCACCGGCUAACUCCGUGCCAGCCGCCGC
RNAcentral lists this ribosomal RNA (509 nucleotides) under uncultured bacterium. RNAcentral's name for it is "bacterial SSU rRNA". It matches the Rfam family "Bacterial small subunit ribosomal RNA", at positions 18 to 518 of the family's 1533-position model. The record is from RNAcentral.